RNAcentral lists this ribosomal RNA (523 nucleotides) under uncultured archaeon. RNAcentral describes it as "bacterial SSU rRNA". It matches the Rfam family "Archaeal small subunit ribosomal RNA", at positions 95 to 623 of the family's 1478-position model. The record is from RNAcentral.
AACACGUGGACAACCUACCCUAAGGAGGGGGAUAACCCCGGAAAACUGGGGAUAAUACCCCAUAGAUUAUAGAAGCUGGAAUGCUCUGUAGUCGAAAGGUCCGCCGCCUUAGGAUGGGUCUGCGGCCGAUUAGGUUGUUGUUGGGGUAAAGGCCCAACAAGCCGUUGAUCGGUACGGGUUGUGAGAGCAAGAGCCCGGAGAUGGAUUCUGAGACACGAAUCCAGGCCCUACGGGGCGCAGCAGGCGCGAAAACUUUACAAUGCGGGAAACCGUGAUAAGGGAACCCCGAGUGCCCGUAAAAUCGGGCUGUCCAUCAGUGUAAAUAACUGGUGAAGAAAGGGCCGGGCAAGACCGGUGCCAGCCGCCGCGGUAAUACCGGCGGCUCGAGUGGUGGCCACUAUUAUUGGGCUUAAAGCGUCCGUAGCUUGAUUGUUAAGUCUCUUGGGAAAUCUACCGGCUCAACCGAUAGGCGUUCAAGGGAUACUGGCAAUCUAGGGACCGGGAGAGGUGAGAGGUACUCCAG